AUUGAACGCUGGCGGCAGGCCUAACACAUGCAAGUCGAGCGGAUGAAGGGAGCUUGCUCCUGGAUUCAGCGGCGGACGGGUGAGUAAUGCCUAGGAAUCUGCCUGGUAGUGGGGGAUAACGUCCGGAAACGGGCGCUAAUACCGCAUACGUCCUGAGGGAGAAAGUGGGGGAUCUUCGGACCUCACGCUAUCAGAUGAGCCUAGGUCGGAUUAGCUAGUUGGUGGGGUAAAGGCCUACCAAGGCGACGAUCCGUAACUGGUCUGAGAGGAUGAUCAGUCACACUGGAACUGAGACACGGUCCAGACUCCUACGGGAGGCAGCAGUGGGGAAUAUUGGACAAUGGGCGAAAGCCUGAUCCGGCCAUGCCGCGUGUGUGGAGAAGGUCUUCGGAUUGUAAAGCACUUUAAGUUGGGAGGAAGGGCAGUAAGUUAAUACCUUGCUGUUUUGACGUUACCAACAGAAUAAGCACCGGCUAACUUCGUG
This 484-nucleotide ribosomal RNA is filed under the name uncultured bacterium. RNAcentral describes it as "partial 16S ribosomal RNA". It matches the Rfam family "Bacterial small subunit ribosomal RNA", at positions 30 to 507 of the family's 1533-position model. The record is from RNAcentral.